UCCACAAAAUUUAAAAGGCUCAUGGAAAGACAACAUUUAAAAAAAAAUUAUCUACCAGCUACUACUAGAGAAGUAUGAUUGGCUCACAAUCAGUUACAUCUUGUCUGGAAAUCAUUUGCAAUUGGGAAAUGAAAGAAAUACAGAGAAAUUUCUUAUAAACCACAUGUAAAGGAACCAUGAAUAACCAUGUGCAAGACUAUGAACACAAGCUGAACAGAUUUAAAAAUACAAUUUUCCCUACACCAUGAAGUGUUUCUCUACUUCAGCAAUUCUUCAUGUGAGAGAAAGAGCCACCAAAGAUACUUCAACAUAAAAGAACCACAAUAUUUUUUUUUUUGGUUAUAAAUGGGAAACAGAGGAAAUAAGAA
RNAcentral lists this long non-coding RNA (368 nucleotides) under Canis lupus familiaris (dog). Its description in RNAcentral is "lncRNA (ENSCAFG00000050723.1)". The record is from RNAcentral. Lineage: Eukaryota; Metazoa; Chordata; Mammalia; Carnivora; Canidae.